Molecule: ribosomal RNA, 2789 nt
Filed under: Escherichia coli
Lineage: Bacteria; Pseudomonadati; Pseudomonadota; Gammaproteobacteria; Enterobacterales; Enterobacteriaceae
Description: bacterial LSU rRNA
Rfam family: Bacterial large subunit ribosomal RNA
Source: RNAcentral
AGCGUACACGGUGGAUGCCCUGGCAGUCAGAGGCGAUGAAGGACGUGCUAAUCUGCGAUAAGCGUCGGUAAGGUGAUAUGAACCGUUAUAACCGGCGAUUUCCGAAUGGGGAAACCCAGUGUGAUUCGUCACACUAUCAUUAACUGAAUCCAUAGGUUAAUGAGGCGAACCGGGGGAACUGAAACAUCUAAGUACCCCGAGGAAAAGAAAUCAACCGAGAUUCCCCCAGUAGCGGCGAGCGAACGGGGAGCAGCCCAGAGCCUGAAUCAGUGUGUGUGUUAGUGGAAGCGUCUGGAAAGGCGCGCGAUACAGGGUGACAGCCCCGUACACAAAAAUGCACAUACUGUGAGCUCGAUGAGUAGGGCGGGACACGUGGUAUCCUGUCUGAAUAUGGGGGGACCAUCCUCCAAGGCUAAAUACUCCUGACUGACCGAUAGUGAACCAGUACCGUGAGGGAAAGGCGAAAAGAACCCCGGCGAGGGGAGUGAAAAAGAACCUGAAACCGUGUACGUACAAGCAGUGGGAGCACAGAGCAAUCUGUGUGACUGCGUACCUUUUGUAUAAUGGGUCAGCGACUUAUAUUCUGUAGCAAGGUUAACCGAAUAGGGGAGCCGAAGGGAAACCGAGUCUUAACUGGGCGUUAAGUUGCAGGGUAUAGACCCGAAACCCGGUGAUCUAGCCAUGGGCAGGUUGAAGGUUGGGUAACACUAACUGGAGGACCGAACCGACUAAUGUUGAAAAAUUAGCGGAUGACUUGUGGCUGGGGGUGAAAGGCCAAUCAAACCGGGAGAUAGCUGGUUCUCCCCGAAAGCUAUUUAGGUAGCGCCUCGUGAAUUCAUCUCCGGGGGUAGAGCACUGUUUCGGCAAGGGGGUCAUCCCGACUUACCAACCCGAUGCAAACUGCGAAUACCGGAGAAUGUUAUCACGGGAGACACACGGCGGGUGCUAACGUCCGUCGUGAAGAGGGAAACAACCCAGACCGCCAGCUAAGGUCCCAAAGUCAUGGUUAAGUGGGAAACGAUGUGGGAAGGCCCAGACAGCCAGGAUGUUGGCUUAGAAGCAGCCAUCAUUUAAAGAAAGCGUAAUAGCUCACUGGUCGAGUCGGCCUGCGCGGAAGAUGUAACGGGGCUAAACCAUGCACCGAAGCUGCGGCAGCGACGCUUAUGCGUUGUUGGGUAGGGGAGCGUUCUGUAAGCCUGCGAAGGUGUGCUGUGAGGCAUGCUGGAGGUAUCAGAAGUGCGAAUGCUGACAUAAGUAACGAUAAAGCGGGUGAAAAGCCCGCUCGCCGGAAGACCAAGGGUUCCUGUCCAACGUUAAUCGGGGCAGGGUGAGUCGACCCCUAAGGCGAGGCCGAAAGGCGUAGUCGAUGGGAAACAGGUUAAUAUUCCUGUACUUGGUGUUACUGCGAAGGGGGGACGGAGAAGGCUAUGUUGGCCGGGCGACGGUUGUCCCGGUUUAAGCGUGUAGGCUGGUUUUCCAGGCAAAUCCGGAAAAUCAAGGCUGAGGCGUGAUGACGAGGCACUACGGUGCUGAAGCAACAAAUGCCCUGCUUCCAGGAAAAGCCUCUAAGCAUCAGGUAACAUCAAAUCGUACCCCAAACCGACACAGGUGGUCAGGUAGAGAAUACCAAGGCGCUUGAGAGAACUCGGGUGAAGGAACUAGGCAAAAUGGUGCCGUAACUUCGGGAGAAGGCACGCUGAUAUGUAGGUGAAGUCCCUCGCGGAUGGAGCUGAAAUCAGUCGAAGAUACCAGCUGGCUGCAACUGUUUAUUAAAAACACAGCACUGUGCAAACACGAAAGUGGACGUAUACGGUGUGACGCCUGCCCGGUGCCGGAAGGUUAAUUGAUGGGGUUAGCGCAAGCGAAGCUCUUGAUCGAAGCCCCGGUAAACGGCGGCCGUAACUAUAACGGUCCUAAGGUAGCGAAAUUCCUUGUCGGGUAAGUUCCGACCUGCACGAAUGGCGUAAUGAUGGCCAGGCUGUCUCCACCCGAGACUCAGUGAAAUUGAACUCGCUGUGAAGAUGCAGUGUACCCGCGGCAAGACGGAAAGACCCCGUGAACCUUUACUAUAGCUUGACACUGAACAUUGAGCCUUGAUGUGUAGGAUAGGUGGGAGGCUUUGAAGUGUGGACGCCAGUCUGCAUGGAGCCGACCUUGAAAUACCACCCUUUAAUGUUUGAUGUUCUAACGUGGACCCGUAAUCCGGGUUGCGGACAGUGUCUGGUGGGUAGUUUGACUGGGGCGGUCUCCUCCUAAAGAGUAACGGAGGAGCACGAAGGUUGGCUAAUCCUGGUCGGACAUCAGGAGGUUAGUGCAAUGGCAUAAGCCAGCUUGACUGCGAGCGUGACGGCGCGAGCAGGUGCGAAAGCAGGUCAUAGUGAUCCGGUGGUUCUGAAUGGAAGGGCCAUCGCUCAACGGAUAAAAGGUACUCCGGGGAUAACAGGCUGAUACCGCCCAAGAGUUCAUAUCGACGGCGGUGUUUGGCACCUCGAUGUCGGCUCAUCACAUCCUGGGGCUGAAGUAGGUCCCAAGGGUAUGGCUGUUCGCCAUUUAAAGUGGUACGCGAGCUGGGUUUAGAACGUCGUGAGACAGUUCGGUCCCUAUCUGCCGUGGGCGCUGGAGAAUUGAGGGGGGCUGCUCCUAGUACGAGAGGACCGGAGUGGACGCAUCACUGGUGUUCGGGUUGUCAUGCCAAUGGCACUGCCCGGUAGCUAAAUGCGGAAGAGAUAAGUGCUGAAAGCAUCUAAGCACGAAACUUGCCCCGAGAUGAGUUCUCCCUGACUCCUUGA